AUUGAACGCUGGCGGCAGGCCUAACACAUGCAAGUCGAGCGGAGCGGCGGACGGGUGAGUAAUGCCUAGGAAUCUGCCUGGUAGUGGGGGAUAACGUCCGGUAACGGGCGCUAAUACUGCAUACUAUCAGAUGAGCCUAGGUCGGAUUAGCUAGUGGGUGGGGUAAAGGUCUACCAAGGCGACGAUCCGUAACUGGUCCUAGAGGAUGAUCAGUCACACUGGAACGGAGACACGGUCCAGACUCCUACGGGAGGCAGCAUUGGGGAAUAUUGGACAAUGGGCGAAAGCCUGAUCCAGCCAUGCCGCGUGUGUGAAGAAGGUCUUCGGGUUGUAAAGCACUUUAAGUUGGGAGGCGUUACCAGCAGAAGAAGCACCGGCUAACUUCGUGCCAGCAGCCGAGGUAAUUA
Molecule: ribosomal RNA, 407 nt
Filed under: uncultured bacterium
Lineage: Bacteria
Description: partial 16S ribosomal RNA
Rfam family: Bacterial small subunit ribosomal RNA
Source: RNAcentral